GAUGAACGCUGGCGGCGUGCCUAAUACAUGCAAGUCGAGCGAACAGACGAGGAGCUUGCUCCUCUGACGUUAGCGGCGGACGGGUGAGUAACACGUGGAUAACUUACCUAUAAGACUGGGAUAACUUCGGGAAACCGGAGCUAAUACCGGAUAAUAUAUUGAACCGCAUGGUUCAAUAGUGAAAGACGGUUUUGCUGUCACUUAUAGAUGGAUCCGCGCCGCAUUAGCUAGUUGGUAGGGUAACGGCUUACCAAGGCAACGAUGCGUAGCCGACCUGAGAGGGUGAUCGGCCACACUGGAACUGAGACACGGUCCAGACUCCUACGGGAGGCAGCAGUAGGGAAUCUUCCGCAAUGGGCGAAAGCCUGACGGAGCAACGCCGCGUGAGUGAUGAAGGUCUUCGGAUCGUAAAACUCUGUUAUUAGGGAAGAACAAAUGUGUAAGUAACUAUGCACGUCUUGACGGUACCUAAUCAGAAAGCCACGGCUAACUACGUG
RNAcentral lists this ribosomal RNA (497 nucleotides) under uncultured bacterium. RNAcentral's name for it is "partial 16S ribosomal RNA". It matches the Rfam family "Bacterial small subunit ribosomal RNA", at positions 28 to 507 of the family's 1533-position model. The record is from RNAcentral.